This 558-nucleotide ribosomal RNA is filed under the name Bacillus sp. F3(2012). RNAcentral's name for it is "bacterial SSU rRNA". It matches the Rfam family "Bacterial small subunit ribosomal RNA", at positions 337 to 886 of the family's 1533-position model. Lineage: Bacteria; Bacillati; Bacillota; Bacilli; Caryophanales; Bacillaceae. The record is from RNAcentral.
CCUUACGGGGGGACAGCAGGUAGGGAAUCUUCCGCAAUGGACGAAAGUCUGACGGAGCAACGCCGCGUGAGUGAUGAAGGCUUUCGGGUCGUAAAACUCUGUUGUUAGGGAAGAACAAGUACGAGAGUAACUGCUCGUACCUUGACGGUACCUAACCAGAAAGCCACGGCUAACUACGUGCCAGCAGCCGCGGUAAUACGUAGGUGGCAAGCGUUAUCCGGAAUUAUUGGGCGUAAAGCGCGCGCAGGCGGUUUCUUAAGUCUGAUGUGAAAGCCCACGGCUCAACCGUGGAGGGUCAUUGGAAACUGGGGAACUUGAGUGCAGAAGAGAAAAGCGGAAUUCCACGUGUAGCGGUGAAAUGCGUAGAGAUGUGGAGGAACACCAGUGGCGAAGGCGGCUUUUUGGUCUGUAACUGACGCUGAGGCGCGAAAGCGUGGGGAGCAAACAGGAUUAGAUACCCUGGUAGUCCACGCCGUAAACGAUGAGUGCUAAGUGUUAGAGGGUUCCGCCCUUUAGUGCUGCAGCUAACGCAUAAGCACUCCGCCUGGGAGACGUACU